Molecule: ribosomal RNA, 406 nt
Filed under: uncultured bacterium
Lineage: Bacteria
Description: partial 16S ribosomal RNA
Rfam family: Bacterial small subunit ribosomal RNA
Source: RNAcentral
AUUGAACGCUGGCGGCAGGCCUAACACAUGCAAGUCGAACGAGUGGCGGACGGGUGAGUAAUGUCUGGGAAACUGCCUGAUGGAGGGGGAUAACUACUGGAAACGGUAGCUAAUACAGCAUACCAUCGGAUGUGCCCAGAUGGGAUUAGCUAGUAGGUGGGGUAAAGGCUCACCUAGGCGACGAUCCCUAGCUGGUAUGAGAGGAUGACCCACCACACGGGAACUGAGAAACGGUCCCAAACCCUCCGGGGGGCGACAGUUGGGAAGAUUGACCAAUUGGCGCGAGCCUGAUGCCGCCAUGCCGCGUGUAUGAAGAAGGCCUUCGGGUUGUAAAGUACUUUCAGCGGGGAGGCGUUACCCGCAGAAGAAGCACCGGCUAACUCCGUGCCAGCCGCCGCGGUAAUUC